UUUGGUUGGGCUGAUCCGGGUGGAUAGUUCCUCUAAUCCACCCGGAUCUCAGCUUUGGUUGAGCCCAACUGGGUUCUGGAUUGUACUUGGGCCCGGGUCCAGAUCAAGGAUUUGCUGGAUCUCCCAUCAGGCCAAAGGAGGUGAGAUUGGGUAAUCUCAUCCUGCUCUCAGCCCAAACAAGUAAAGUAUAUUACCUUUAUGCCCUGAAUAUUUAUUUCUAAUUACAAGACUACCCCAUAUAUAUAUGAAUUACCCCAAAAAUUAUUGUGUUAGCCCUAGAAUUUUACCGAGAUACAAUACACGCCGUUCUUCGUUCUGCUUUUCUCCACUGGGGUAGUUUUAUCACCGAGGUAAUUUUCCGAUAAUCAACUCUUCUAGGUUCUCUAACACGCUUCUUUCUUCGUUUUUUAGGCCCCUCUAAACCGGUUGAAGAAUAAUCAACUCAUCACAGAUUGAUUUCUUAUUUUUCAUACUUCACUAGUUUUUUCUUUUUUUAUUUGGUUUUUUCCGAUAAUCAACUCAUCACAGAUUGAUAUCACAGAUUUCUUCAAAUGCAUCCGAGUAUUGUUGAAGAAUUUUGGGUUCAUAUGGGUUUUGAUUUUUUUUAUUUUUCUAAUUAUCCGUUUCUCAUCUCGUAAUUAAAUUUAUUUGUUUCCGUUUUGCAGGUGAUUUUCGAUUUUGGUUUCGUAAUAGUUCGUAGUUUGGCCGGGCUGAUUCUGUUCUGGCCAAACGAUUCCGGUGUUGCAGCUGGUUGACGGUUGGCAGUCGAUUAUUCCGGUUCUGCUACACGACGAUUUAAGGUGAGUUCUCCAAUGGGUUUAAGCUCCUCUUUAGAUUACAGAUUAAGGAUUGAGAAAGGUAGCAUUUAUAUGGAAAAAUACAUUUUAUCUUUUGUUUUGGGAAAAAAUAGUACAUUACCUCAUCCAUUUUUAUAUUUUAUCUUUUGUUUUGGGAAAAAUAUAUUUUAUCUUUUCUUUAGAUUACAGAUUAAGGAUUAAGCAUUUUUUAUGUUGUUUACUAAAUAGGAUCACAAUUGUUAAUGGCGAACACGAGUGAGAACCAAGUAAUAGUUUUCGCGGUGUAUGAAUUAGUCGAACAAAUGCAAGUACUGUUAACAAUGCUUAGUAGGCUCAUCCGUUUGCUUCUACGUCGCCGCCGGGUCAAUAAUAUUGUCGGUUCAUCGUAUAGUAUGAGGGGUAAGAUACCUGCUCAAGUCCGAAAUUUGACUUACAUAAUUGGAACUAGUGACAAUAUAUGUCGAAAAAAUUUGCGAAUGAAUAUGGAUACAUUUAGCCGCUUAUGCUACCUUCUUCAAAAUCUGGGUGGUUUAGGACCCACUAGGCAUGUAUCCGUAACCGAACAAGUAGCAUUAUUCCUUCACGUUCUUUCUCACCAUGAAAAAAAUGUAAUCAUCCAAACCAAUUACCGAAGAUCGGGAUGGACAAUCAGUAAGUACUUUUCGAGGGUCCUAAAUGCUGUCCUCAAAUUACAUAAUAUUAUGCUCGUUCAACCCGUACCGGUAGACGAAGAUUGCGAGCAUCAGCGUUGGAAUUAUUUUCAGGGUUGUUUAGGUGCCCUAGACGGAACUUAUGUACACGUACGUGUUCCACUAACUGAAAAACCACGGUAUAGGAACCGGAAGGGUAAUGUUUCUGUAAAUGUCCUUGCCGUGUGCGACGUGAACCUGAAUUUUGUGUACUUACUGACCGGAUGGGAAGGUUCGGCUGCCGAUAGUAGGAUCCUAAGAGAUGCUGUAACCCGACCUAACGGUUUAAGUGUUCCAAUCGGGCACUACUAUUUAGUCGAUAACGGAUACACAAACGGCCCUGGUUUCCUUGCGCCUUAUCGGGGUACUAGAUACCACCUAAUUGAUUUUGGUGUUGGUACAAACACACCUCAAGAUUUUAGGGAGUAUUUUAAUUUAAAACACUCUAAGGCGCGAAAUGCAAUUGAACGAGCCUUCGGAAUCUUGAAGUCAAGGUGGGGGAUAUUACGGAGCGCGUCGUAUUACCCGAUCAAAAUCCAAAAUCGGAUCAUUAUGGCUUGUUGUUUAUUACACAAUUUUAUUCGCACCACUAAUGAUUUCGACCCGGAAGAAAAUGUAGUUGCACAAGAAAUUAUUCGGAAAAAUCCGGAUCGUAGUUAUGCGGUCAUCCAAAGCGUUGAGCCCUCGGACGAAUGGACUGCGUGGCGUGACACCCUAGCAAUGAAUAUGUACAACAAUUGGUUACGCGAGCGAGGAAUGUGAUACUUUAAGUAAACAAUUGUUUGUUACAAUUUUAUGAAUUUUUUUUUUGAACAUUAGUCUGGUUAAUGUGUUAUGUUCCCUGAAUUCAAAAUAGCGAAGUAUGAAAAAUAUUUCAUACUGUAUACCUUUUUUUAUAUUUCUAUUAAUCAUUAAUGCAAUUUGUUUGUUACGUUUGUUUAAAUUCGUUAUGCCUUUUUUCCGUGCAAUUCUCUAAUCGUAAACAUAAUCAGGGACAAAAUGUCUACAUCACUUUCACAAAGAAGUUCGGGGUCUCGCAAACCGCGAACCAACAUUACGAGGCGAUGUUGGUCUCCAAUGGAAGAACAACACCUAAUUACCUCACUAAAAGACAUCGUUUCGCGUGGGUGGAAAUCCGACAACGGGUUCCGGACCGGUUACUUAGGUGUGUUGGAACAACACAUGGCUCAAAAAUUCCCCGGGACCGACAUUAAGGCGGAUCCUAUGAUUUUAUCAAAGCUUCACGUUUGGAAAAAAAAUUAUGGCUCGCUUUCCCAAAUGCUUUCAAGGUCGGGAUUUUGUUGGAAUGAGUCGGCGAACACCAUUGAUGUAAUCGACGAUCAAGUGUGGAACGAUUAUGUUAAGUUCGAUUCAAAUGCCCGGUUGAUGCGCUAUAAAUCAUGGCCAUAUUUCAAAGAUUGGACAAUCAUCUUUGGAAAAGAUCGGGCUACGGGGGAAAGUGCCGAGACUCUCGCCGAUGCGAUCAAUGAUAUAUCGAAACAAGAUAAAGAAGCGGGCGACGAUUCAAUGGGUGGAGACCACAUACCGCAACCUGCCAUGCACUCCAACGAGAAUGACUCGGAGAACAUGUCCUCAUUGCACGGUGAAGGUUACAUGUCAAACAUGCAAGGUGAAGGGACUUCAACCUCACAUCAAAGUAGGGGUAAAAAGAAAGGCAACAAGCGUUCCCGAAACGAUGACCUCGAUGGUCGUAUCGUGGAUAUGAUGGUGGAUAUGACUAGGACUUUUGCGGAGACUAAAACAUGAGUGAGAAAAACUCACCGAUACGAAUGUACUUGGUCUUUAAGAUCCCCAAUUUCUUACGAAUGUACUUGUAUGCCUAGUCUUUAAGAUCCCCAAUUUCUUACAAAUGUACUUGAGUGAGAAAAACUCACCGUGCUUUUUUUGGAUCACGGUUUGUGCCAUGAUGAGUGAUGAGUUGUUGUCAUUUCCAACAACGAAGUUGCCGACCCGUGCCUCGUACGCCAAAA
This is a non-coding RNA of Erythranthe guttata (spotted monkey flower), 3477 nucleotides long. NCBI's taxonomy places the organism in Eukaryota, Viridiplantae, Streptophyta, Magnoliopsida, Lamiales, Phrymaceae. The record is from RefSeq and is a predicted model, not a curated record.